This 253-nucleotide ribosomal RNA is filed under the name uncultured bacterium. RNAcentral's name for it is "partial 16S ribosomal RNA". It matches the Rfam family "Bacterial small subunit ribosomal RNA", at positions 524 to 776 of the family's 1533-position model. The record is from RNAcentral.
UACGAAGGGUGCAAACGUUGCUCGGAAUUACUGGGCGUAAAGGGCGCGUAGGCGGAUGGUACAGUCAGAUGUGAAAUUCCCGGGCUUAACCUGGGGGCUGCAUUUGAUACGUGCGAUCUGGAGUGAGGAAGAGGGUCGUGGAAUUCCCAGUGUAGAGGUGAAAUUCGUAGAUAUUGGGAAGAACACCGGUGGCGAAGGCGGCGACCUGGUCCUUGACUGACGCUGAGGCGCGAAAGCGUGGGGAGCAAACAGG